GGGUAUAUAGCUCAGUGGUAGAGCACAUGCUUGGGGUGCACAAGGUCCUGGGUUCAAUUCCCAGUACCCCUG
RNAcentral lists this transfer RNA (72 nucleotides) under Camelus bactrianus (Bactrian camel). It matches the Rfam family "tRNA". From Rfam's summary of the family: Transfer RNA (tRNA) molecules are approximately 80 nucleotides in length. Their secondary structure includes four short double-helical elements and three loops (D, anti-codon, and T loops). Lineage: Eukaryota; Metazoa; Chordata; Mammalia; Artiodactyla; Camelidae. RNAcentral also lists the same sequence under 1 other name. The record is from Rfam by way of RNAcentral.